GGCUUAACACAUGCAAGUCGAGGGGUAACGAGAGGAAAGCUUGCUUUCCUUGUCGACGACCGGCGCACGGGUGAGUAACGCGUAUCCAACCUGCCCCCAACUAAGGAAUAACCUUGCGAAAGUAAGACUAAUACCUUAUAAUUUCCUCAGAUGUCAUCUGACGAGGAAUAAAGAUUUAUCGGUUGUGGAUGGGGAUGCGUCUGAUUAGCUUGUUGGCGGGGUAACGGCCCACCAAGGCAACGAUCAGUAGGGGUUCUGAGAGGAAGGUCCCCCACAUUGGAACUGAGACACGGUCCAAACUCCUACGGGAGGCAGCAGUGAGGAAUAUUGGUCAAUGGGCGGAAGCCUGAACCAGCCAAGUAGCGUGAAGGAUGACGG
Molecule: ribosomal RNA, 378 nt
Filed under: uncultured Prevotella sp.
Lineage: Bacteria; Pseudomonadati; Bacteroidota; Bacteroidia; Bacteroidales; Prevotellaceae
Description: bacterial SSU rRNA
Rfam family: Bacterial small subunit ribosomal RNA
Source: RNAcentral